AGAGGAGACUGGGUGAUCGCUCGGCACCUUUGGGUGCCGGGAGGAAAGUCCGGACUCCAUGGGCGGGGCGCUGGGUAACUCCCAGGCGGAGCAAUCCGACACCUGCACCACAGAAAACAAACCGCCGAUGGCCAAGGCGACGGGAUCCUAUCUAGUCGCUACGGAUCAGGUAAGGGUGAAACGGCGGGGUAAGAGCCCACCGCAGGGAUGGUGACAUCGCUGGCACGGUAAGCGUCGCCCGGUGCAAGGCCAAAUAGGAAGACACGUGUGGCGCUCGCAAGGGCGCGGCACAACGACUGGCCCGGUCGGGGUCUUCGGGUAGGUCGCUUGAGGUUCGGGGUAACUCGAAUCCCAGAGAAAUGAUCACCCAGGCAUGAACUCCGGUUCAUGCGGGACAGAAUCCGGCUUAUAGGUUUCCUCGCUCG
This 425-nucleotide RNase P RNA is filed under the name Nitrospira sp. RNAcentral's name for it is "RNase P RNA component class A". It matches the Rfam family "Bacterial RNase P class A". From Rfam's summary of the family: Ribonuclease P (RNase P) is a ubiquitous endoribonuclease, found in archaea, bacteria and eukarya as well as chloroplasts and mitochondria. Its best characterised activity is the generation of mature 5'-ends of tRNAs by cleaving the 5'-leader elements of precursor-tRNAs. The record is from RNAcentral. Lineage: Bacteria; Pseudomonadati; Nitrospirota; Nitrospiria; Nitrospirales; Nitrospiraceae.